RNAcentral lists this ribosomal RNA (253 nucleotides) under uncultured bacterium. RNAcentral describes it as "partial 16S ribosomal RNA". It matches the Rfam family "Bacterial small subunit ribosomal RNA", at positions 524 to 776 of the family's 1533-position model. The record is from RNAcentral.
UACGGGGGGGGCAAGCGUUGUUCGGAAUUACUGGGCGUAAAGGGCUCGUAGGUGGCCAACUAAGUCAGACGUGAAAUCCCUCAGCUUAACUGGGGAACUGCGUCUGAUACUGGAUGGCUUGAGAUUGGGAGAGGGAUGUGGAAUUCCAGGUGUAGCGGUGAAAUGCGUAGAUAUCUGGAGGAACACCGGUGGCGAAGGCGGUUCUCUGGGCAUUACCUGACGCUGAGGAGCGAAAGUGUGGGGAGCGAACAGG